RNAcentral lists this transfer RNA (73 nucleotides) under Candidatus Arthromitus sp. SFB-mouse-Japan. Its description in RNAcentral is "tRNA-Gly". It matches the Rfam family "tRNA". From Rfam's summary of the family: Transfer RNA (tRNA) molecules are approximately 80 nucleotides in length. Their secondary structure includes four short double-helical elements and three loops (D, anti-codon, and T loops). Further hydrogen bonds mediate the characteristic L-shaped molecular structure. tRNAs have two regions of fundamental functional importance: the anti-codon, which is responsible for specific mRNA codon recognition, and the 3' end, to which the tRNAs corresponding amino acid is attached (by aminoacyl-tRNA synthetases). tRNAs cope with the degeneracy of the genetic code in two manners: having more than one tRNA (with a specific anti-codon) for a particular amino acid; and 'wobble' base-pairing, i.e. permitting non-standard base-pairing at the 3rd anti-codon position. Lineage: Bacteria; Bacillati; Bacillota; Clostridia; Eubacteriales; Clostridiaceae. RNAcentral also lists the same sequence under 5 other names. The record is from RNAcentral.
GCGGGAGUAGCUCAGUUGGUAGAGUGCCACCUUGCCAAGGUGGAUGUCGCGAGUUCGAGCCUCGUCUUCCGCU